Molecule: long non-coding RNA, 344 nt
Filed under: Elaeis guineensis (African oil palm)
Lineage: Eukaryota; Viridiplantae; Streptophyta; Magnoliopsida; Arecales; Arecaceae
Description: long non-coding RNA (EGUI_LNC017310)
Source: RNAcentral
GUAUCUUACAAUUCAAGUUCUCGAAGAUCUACAACACAACCACUCUCUCAUCGGCUUGUACCUGAUGAAGCACUAGUCGGGUCAUACCUGACUAAUGAAGCCGGGAGUGGAUCCGUUCCUAACAACAAGUGGGUCCCUCAACCAUAAGUGCGCUUGCUAAAGGCUAUAGUGCCAGGUUGAAUACGAGACCAAGGAGAAAUUAUUGUGUUAGUUAGCUAAUGCCCAAUUAGCGAAGCCGUGAGGUCCGACAUCCGACAGCAUACUUGUCCAAGCACCAACUAUCCCGAUAGGGUCCGUAAGCUACAGAGCCAUAACAUUUGGCAAAACAAAUAUGGUGUUCAGCA